This 460-nucleotide ribosomal RNA is filed under the name uncultured bacterium. Its description in RNAcentral is "partial 16S ribosomal RNA". It matches the Rfam family "Bacterial small subunit ribosomal RNA", at positions 338 to 795 of the family's 1533-position model. The record is from RNAcentral.
CCUACGGGGGGCAGCAGUGAGGAAUAUUGGUCAAUGGGCGGGAGCCUGAACCAGCCAAGCCGCGUGAGGGAAGAAGGUACAGCGUAUCGUAAACCUCUUUUGUCAGGGAACAAAGGCGGGGACUAGUCCCCGGAUGAGGGUACCUGAAGAAAAAGCAUCGGCUAACUCCGUGCCAGCAGCCGCGGUAAUACGGAGGAUGCGAGCGUUAUCCGGAUUUACUGGGUGUAAAGGGAGCGUAGACGGCAGCGCAAGUCUGGUGUGAAAUGCCGGGGCCCAACCCCGGAACUGCUCUGGAAACUGGGAAGCGUGAGUGCAGGAGAGGUAAGCGGAAUUCCUGGUGUAGCGGUGAAAUGCGUAGAUAUCAGGAGGAACACCGGCGGCGAAGGCGGCUUACUGGACUGUAACUGACGUUGAGGCUCGAAGGCGUGGGGAGCAAACAGGAUUAGAUACCCGUGUAGUC